AUCUCAUGGUUUGGGCAUUUGGCCAACAUUCUAUGGAUCUUUCCCAUACUUCAUGAAGGGGCUCGCCGUUCUUUUGCCUAAAAUUCAUAAUUUUAUUUCUUGAGUC
This 106-nucleotide small nucleolar RNA is filed under the name Capsicum annuum. Its description in RNAcentral is "Plant small nucleolar RNA R71". It matches the Rfam family "Plant small nucleolar RNA R71". From Rfam's summary of the family: R71 is a member of the C/D box family of snoRNAs containing the C (UGAUGA) and D (CUGA) box motifs. Multiple nearly identical copies of this snoRNA have been identified in Arabidopsis, and it is thought to function as a 2'-O-ribose methylation guide for 18S ribosomal RNA. The record is from Rfam by way of RNAcentral. Lineage: Eukaryota; Viridiplantae; Streptophyta; Magnoliopsida; Solanales; Solanaceae.